Long non-coding RNA from Arabidopsis lyrata subsp. lyrata, 908 nucleotides. RefSeq lists it as uncharacterized. Lineage: Eukaryota; Viridiplantae; Streptophyta; Magnoliopsida; Brassicales; Brassicaceae. The record is from RefSeq and is a predicted model, not a curated record. The transcript has 2 exons.
AGUAUUAUUUAAUCUAAGACUAAACGUCGGGCUUGAUUUUACAUUACAUUGGAAAAUAAGGCCUUGUGUAAAUAAAGUAAAUAUCAUUGGCGAAUAAUUUUUUUUUUUUAUAAAAAGAAUUGUAAACGACAUCUUUUGUUCUUAGUUACUAUCGAAAAAAGCAGUCUCUUGACGGCAAGAGACCCAUAUGUUGUUUAAAUCCGAGCAUCAAAAAUCAAAUCUUCGCCGAUCUUCCUCGUCUGUUUGCUUAUUCAUAUCUGAAAAACCCUAUUUUUUCUUCACUGAUCUGCAGAACUUCUGCAAUUAACCACAAAUUUCUACAAAAAUCUACCGGAUUCCAACUCUUUUGUUGUCAUCAUUGUUCAUGAUACGAUAUUACGAUGUGUCGCCCGAAACUAAUCAAUCUUGCUGAUAACGGGGAAUUGGAGAUACAAAAUGUCCUGCUACAUCCACUUGCAGAUCCGGCUUAGACUUGCUCUCAAAGAUUGUGAGAGCAAAACCAUCAUUUGGUAACCUGUAUACAUUCAAAAUAUAGAAUCGAUAGUUUAAUUUCUGGCAUCCAUAAACAGAGAUGGUUAUUAAAAAUAUAAGUAGAUUUUCACCAAAUUUGGUCGUGAGUGUUUUCUAGGUACGAAGGACAUGCACCUGCACUCAAACCUCUCCAAGCAGACUUGACAUCGUCAAGGAAAGCAGUUGAUUGUGCCAUUGUUUGAAAAACAAAAAGGAACAAUGAGAGGUUUGUUACGAAUAUAAGUAAUUAUUUGAUAAGUUAGAAACGAUAAUGACGUUCUCUAUUUAUAGUGUAGUAGGUUGUUAGGGUUUUUGGAUCCAAGAUUUCCGAAAAUCUUGGAAAAAAGCAAAAAAUAUAAGAUACGGUAAAUAACAUAUAUUCGUAUUUGGUAAACUAA